UUGAAGACAUCAUUACUUUGGCCUGCACCUUCACGGCUUCACCCGUUUCUCUCCUCACAGCACUAGGGGCAAACGGAUCCACCAACGAGGCGAACGAGAGCAACAAUUCCACCUAUUUAUUCUAACAUGCCACUGAAGCGUGAGGCCUGUCGCUCUUCAAGUCCACCGGCUGCAGCUCCUCCCCUGUCAAUUAUGCCGCUCCAUCUACGAUAAACACAAAUGGUGACUCUGUAUCACAUAGAUGAGGGUCAAGUUUUAUUUGAUCGCUUCUCAAGCUCUUAUAGGUGGUUAUCCUUACCUGUUCAUCUCUGGCGGCUUCUUUCACCGGUGGCGAGCGAGAUCAGGUUCAAGACCGUAUCGUUGAGGAGAAAGACCAAGAUUCCAGUUCCAGAGGGCUAUGCGUGCAGCUGAAAUUGGCAACUAGCCAUCCAAUAAGAGAAAAAGCAUGUGAAGUGCUGAAAACUGCAUAAUUCUAUUUUAGAGGUUUGCAAAAAUUAAAAUAAAGAGAAGGGGAUUCCCAUCUUCGUGGAAUUUCAAUUGGGGUUGCUAUAUUGUGCUACACACACGUGCACGAGCAAUGCCGUGUGGCCCGACAUAAUGCAAAUUUCUUAUGGAAGACUGAGAAGAAGAUUACACAUAGCUCAGUAGGAUUCAACUUAUUUAUCAUUCGUUAAAAACUAGAGAGCAGCAUCAAACAAGUAGAUAAUUUUCAUGAGCACUUAAUUUCCGUAAUGGGGUAAUUGUUUAUAUACGACCAUCCAUUUGUAUUUAGCAUUUGUGGGUGGUGGAAUAUAUGAAAUACCACAAUUUGAGCCUUAAAUUUUUGGCAGAUUUUCUCAUAUGUUAUAUUUGCAUGAUCCGCAGCAAGGCGCGGGGCAUUAU
Molecule: long non-coding RNA, 882 nt
Organism: Lolium perenne
Lineage: Eukaryota; Viridiplantae; Streptophyta; Magnoliopsida; Poales; Poaceae
Source: RefSeq, a predicted model, not a curated record